GCUGCUUGAGGCGACUGUUGUGUAACCAGAGACUCACUCACAGACAAUAGCACACAGUUUCGUUCGUUGUAAUCUUAGCGGCUGGCUCAGAACAUGUAGCGGUUGCUGUAAGGCCAACGGAACAUCAAUGCCAUUUAAUGCUAGACUGUUAUUUGUCAUUAAGCUAAGACAAAUGAUUUAGGCUUAGGCGUACAAUCCUCUUUUAUUGAAACAGUGCUAUUGUCGCCCAAAACACAGCAGUAGCUGAGGCAGGUUUGUUGCCACAUUGACGACGUCUUUAGUAAUCUGAGUGCU
Molecule: small nucleolar RNA, 294 nt
Organism: Drosophila montana
Lineage: Eukaryota; Metazoa; Arthropoda; Insecta; Diptera; Drosophilidae
Source: RefSeq, a predicted model, not a curated record